RNAcentral lists this ribosomal RNA (253 nucleotides) under uncultured bacterium. Its description in RNAcentral is "partial 16S ribosomal RNA". It matches the Rfam family "Bacterial small subunit ribosomal RNA", at positions 524 to 776 of the family's 1533-position model. The record is from RNAcentral.
UACGUAGGGGGCAAGCGUUGUCCGGAAUUAUUGGGCGUAAAGGGUGCGUAGGCGGCCUUUCAAGUCGGAUGUGAAAUCCCCGUGCUUAACAUGGGAAUUGCAUUCGAAACUGGAGGGCUUGAGUGUGGAAGAGGUAAGUGGAAUUCCCAGUGUAGCGGUGAAAUGCGUAGAUAUUGGGAGGAACACCAGUGGCGAAGGCGACUUACUGGGCCACAACUGACGCUGAGGCACGAAAGCGUGGGGAGCAAACAGG